ACCAUCAUUAAGAGCUUUAGUGUUACUGUCUCUGGUGAGUAUCAUCUCUUCAUUCAGUGCAUGUUUCCUUUUAUUUUAGAAUACAGUUCAAUAUUUUUUGGUCCACUAAAUGAGAAAGUGGAUUGAUCUUUACAAACAAUGCCAGAUGGCACCAUUUAUCAGUUAAAAUCAAGCAACACUGAUGAUCCAGGUACAAAAAGUGUAAAUAUCGGUCAACAAUUUUGAUAUAAUUGAUCAGUCAAUUCUGUCUGUCUUUCUGUCAGUCAACGAUGUUUCAGAUUCAGGAUCAUCUUCAGCUGCCGCUGUCGUUGUUGUUGUUGUUGUUGUUGUUGUUGUUGUUGUUCUUCUUCUUCUGCUCGUUGCUGCUGUAGUUUUCUACAAACGCAAAGCAAUAAUGAAAUGCAUCAGGAGGAAGCGCAGUGAUCCGAUAGAUGAUGCUCAAGACACAUCCCCUGAACAGACUGAAACUCUAAUGAAGACGGCUUCUAAUGGGACAUCGCAUAAUAAGACUGAGGCUGCUGAUGAGACACAACUGUAACAUUAUUUAUUAUUUUAUUGAAAGGCAAAUUUAAGA
Cyprinus carpio (common carp) is the source of this 574-nucleotide long non-coding RNA. RefSeq lists it as uncharacterized. The transcript has 3 exons. The record is from RefSeq and is a predicted model, not a curated record. Lineage: Eukaryota; Metazoa; Chordata; Actinopteri; Cypriniformes; Cyprinidae.